RNAcentral lists this long non-coding RNA (1409 nucleotides) under Homo sapiens (human). RNAcentral's name for it is "PCBP1 antisense RNA 1". The record is from RNAcentral. Lineage: Eukaryota; Metazoa; Chordata; Mammalia; Primates; Hominidae.
GGGGGGGAGGGGCGGCGAGGCGAGGCCUGCGGAGCGGAGGAAGACAAACAUAAAGAUGAAGUGCUUAAUUCAAGGUCACACAAUGUCGGGGAUGGACCUCCAGAUUUCCUUACUGGUGAGACGUGGUCUUGUAACACAGUGGUUAAGAAUGUGACUUUGGAGCCAGCCUGCUAGGGGCUGAAUUCUGACUCAGCCAUUUACUAACUGUGUGACCUUAGGUGGAGUCUCACUCUGUAGCCCAAGCUGGAGUGGCGUGAUCUCGACUCACUGCAACCUCCGCCUCCUGGGAUCAAGUGAUUCUCGUGCCUCAGCCUCCUGAGUAGCCGGGACUACAGGUCACAGAAUUUUCCACACUCCUUGACAGAGGUGCUUAACCCUUAUCCAUCAGCAUUCUCAGACAGCACCUCCGGUUAGGGACAGUAUCUGACCGUCCGACAUCCCUGCAGCCCCCAUGUGUCACACAGACUCAGCCUCAGGUAGAUGGUUUCCGUAGAUGGUGGCUUUCUUUGGACCCUUGACAUCAACCAGUUACUAUUUGGUCUAGGGGUCUCACCAACGCUGCUCAUCUAGCAGGGCCACACAUAACAAAUAGAAGCAGAGCAAGCCCUGGAACUCCUGCCUGACAGUGACACGACGACAGAAACAUCUUACCAGUCAGAGGACCAUGAGAAAUAGAUUCAAGGAGCAUUCCACGUGCAAGUGAGUCUUGGCCCCAUCUGCCUUUGGAUUUUAGCCGUGAACUGGAAGGUAUUGGAAAGAAGACCCUCAGAAAUAGCUUAAUCAAAAUCCCUGCGUCUGAACCAAGUGCCUUAUUUCUCUGUGGGCCUCAAGCUUCGCUGACAUCUGUGGAGCACACUGUCCUAACAGGAGUGCUGUCUGAUUUCCCAACGCUCUGCAAAACAAACAGCCUGGAAGGGUGGCUGGUGGAAGGUGGUUUUUAGAGAGAGACUUGUAGAUAACAGGAAAGUGAAGGCUGUAAGGAAGGUUGUAAUUAAACAGCACAUGGAAACACAAUCACAUUAUUGUCCCAUUCCAUAGGGAUAAUGAUGACCACUUCAGUGGGAAAAGGAGAGGUUUUAAGUCAUUAGGGACUAUGGGCCACCUUUUAGGAAGAUUUAUUUUCAAAGGUUAAAAUAGUGUUUUGGCAAUUCAAGUUUCAUUUUCAGAAAAUGUAAUUGAUGGGAACCUCAGUGACUCUGGAUGAAUAAGAUGCUGUUGAGUGGCUCUGACUUGGGCCAGCCGUGCUUCUCACAGGACCUUGGAGACCAAGGUCACUGUGAUCUCAGGUUCAGGGGGCAAGUCCUCUCCACACAGCCCUAGUUGGCCUCACAGCUGAAAAUGUCUCCCUUACUGUUGGACUCCUUUGUUCACCCACAUGAGUUUGUGAAUAAAUCCUUUCCAGUCUGAAA